UACGAAGGGGGCGAGCGUUGUUCGGAUUUACUGGGCGUAAAGCGCGUGUAGGCGGGUCAUUAAGAUGGGGGUGAAAUCCCGGAGCUCAACUCCGGAACUGCCUCCAAAACUGGUGAGCUGGAGCAGGACAGAGGGAAGUGGAAUUCCGAGUGUAGAGGUGAAAUUCGUAGAUAUUCGGAGGAACACCAGUGGCGAAGGCGACUUGCUGGGUCCUUUCUGACGCUGAGACGCGAAAGAGUGGGGAGCAAACAGG
This 253-nucleotide ribosomal RNA is filed under the name uncultured bacterium. Its description in RNAcentral is "partial 16S ribosomal RNA". It matches the Rfam family "Bacterial small subunit ribosomal RNA", at positions 524 to 776 of the family's 1533-position model. The record is from RNAcentral.